This 468-nucleotide ribosomal RNA is filed under the name uncultured bacterium. RNAcentral's name for it is "partial 16S ribosomal RNA". It matches the Rfam family "Bacterial small subunit ribosomal RNA", at positions 28 to 507 of the family's 1533-position model. The record is from RNAcentral.
GACGAACGCUGGCGGCGUGCUUAACACAUGCAAGUCGAACGGAAAGGCCCUGCUUUUGUGGGGUGCUCGAGUGGCGAACGGGUGAGUAACACGUGAGUAACCUGCCCUUGACUUUGGGAUAACUUCAGGAAACUGGGGCUAAUACCGGAUAGGAGCUCCUGCUGCAUGGUGGGGGUUGGAAAGUUUCGGCGGUUGGGGAUGGACUCGCGGCUUAUCAGCUUGUUGGUGGGGUAGUGGCUUACCAAGGCUUUGACGGGUAGCCGGCCUGAGAGGGUGACCGGCCACAUUGGGACUGAGAUACGGCCCAGACUCCUACGGGAGGCAGCAGUGGGGAAUAUUGCACAAUGGGCGGAAGCCUGAUGCAGCAACGCCGCGUGCGGGAUGACGGCCUUCGGGUUGUAAACCGCUUUCGCCUGUGACGAAGCAUGAGUGACGGUAAUAGGUAAAGAAGCACCGGCUAACUACGUG